GCUGGCCAGAGCUGGGCCUGACUGUAGCCAGGAGUUCAUCUCUGACACUGAAGUUGCCUUCUCAGGACAAUCAGCAGGGAACUGCAUCAGAAUUGGAACAGUUAAGAUUCAGAACAGUGUGAAUAUGCAAUAUCAACAUUCCAGGAGCCAGCUGGACCCUCUGUCACAAUAUUGAUUCCUUGAUUUAAUUUUAGAAGGCCUUGAGGGAAUAAGAAGCCAAGCCAAAACAAUUUGAAGCCUAACUAAAGAGCCCUAUCUGGCAUUGUGUGAGAUCCUGAACUAAAGAUGUCCUUUCCUGUAAGGAAAAACACCCAGGUGAAUGGCAUGGAUUCUGAUUUUCUCUGUAUUUGCUAUAGACAGGUGUCACCUCAAGGAAUGGAAUUAAUUCACUAUGAAGUGGACAUUAGUCAGUGAGAGGACAGAACAUAAGAGGGAAAGUGAAAGAAAGCUGUUCCUCUACUACUUCCUCUGGACUAUUUUAAAAUACAGUAAUCUAAGUGUCUCCCUAAAGCUGUGAGUGAGAGUGGCACCGUGGUGCAGCGAGCUCAACUACCUAUAUCAGUGCUGUGAUCACAUAUCAGAACACCAACUCAUACACCGUUUGCUCCACUCCUGAAACGUCUCCCUCUAAUGCAGCUAGGAAAACAUCAGAGGAAGGUCCAAAUGCUUGGGACCCUGUUCUUCAUGUAGGAUUCCUGUCUAGAGUUCCUGGCUCCUGAGUCUGGCUCAACCCUAGUUGCUGUGGCCAUUCUGACAUGAAAAAGAGGAUGGGAGAUCU
This is a long non-coding RNA of Ochotona princeps (American pika), 778 nucleotides long. RefSeq lists it as uncharacterized. The record is from RefSeq and is a predicted model, not a curated record. NCBI's taxonomy places the organism in Eukaryota, Metazoa, Chordata, Mammalia, Lagomorpha, Ochotonidae. The transcript has 3 exons.